GGGCGGUUAGCUCAGUUGGUGAGCAUCUCGUUUACACCGAGGGGUCAAAGGUUCGAGUCCUUUACUGCCCACCA
This 74-nucleotide transfer RNA is filed under the name uncultured marine virus. RNAcentral describes it as "tRNA-Val". It matches the Rfam family "tRNA". From Rfam's summary of the family: Transfer RNA (tRNA) molecules are approximately 80 nucleotides in length. Their secondary structure includes four short double-helical elements and three loops (D, anti-codon, and T loops). The record is from RNAcentral.